Molecule: ribosomal RNA, 253 nt
Filed under: uncultured bacterium
Lineage: Bacteria
Description: partial 16S ribosomal RNA
Rfam family: Bacterial small subunit ribosomal RNA
Source: RNAcentral
UACGUAGGGGGCAAGCGUUGUCCGGAAUCAUUGGGCGUAAAGCGCGUGUAGGCGGUCCGGUAAGUCGGCUGUGAAAGUCCAGGGCUCAACCCUGGGAUGCCGGUCGAUACUGCCGGACUAGAGUUCGGAAGAGGCGAGUGGAAUUCCCGGUGUAGCGGUGAAAUGCGCAGAUAUCGGGAGGAACACCAAUGGCGAAGGCAGCUCGCUGGGACGUUACUGACGCUGAGACGCGAAAGCGUGGGGGGCAAACAGG